GGAUUGCCCCAGUAACGGCGAGUGAAGCGGCAACAGCUCAAAUUUAAAAUCCGGCCCUCCCGGGGUCCGAGUUGUAAUUUGCAGAGGAUGCUCCGGCGCGGGCCCCGGGCCAAGUCCCUUGGAACAGGGCGUCCUGGAGGGUGAGAGCCCCGUACGCCCGGGUCGCCUGCGCCGUCCGGAGCUCCUUCGACGAGUCGAGUUGUUUGGGAAUGCAGCUCUAAGUGGGAGGUAAAUUUCUUCUAAAGCUAAAUACCGGCCAGAGACCGAUAGCGCACAAGUAGAGUGAUCGAAAGAUGAAAAGCACUUUGGAAAGAGAGUUAAAAAGCACGUGAAAUUGUUGAAAGGGAAGCUCUUGCCGCCAGACUUGCCGCGGUUGUUCACCCGACCCCCGCGGUCGGGGCACUCCUCCGCCGGCAGGCCAGCGUCAGCUCGGGCGGCCGGACAAAGGCCCCGGGAAUGUGGCCCCCCUCGGGGGGUGUUAUAGCCUGGGGUGCAAUGCGGCCCGCCUGGGUUGAGGCACGCGUUCGCUAGGACGCUGGCGUAAUGGCUGCAAGCGACCCGUCUUGAAACACGGACCAAGGAGUCUAACAUCUGUGCGAGUGUUCGGGCGUCAAACCCGUGCGCGCAAUGAAAGUGAACGGAGGUGGGAACCCGCGAGGGUGCACCAUCGACCGAUCCUGAUGUCUUCGGAUGGAUUUGAGUAAGAGCAUAGCUGUUGGGACCCGAAAGAUGGUGAACUAUGCCUGAAUAGGGUGAAGCCAGAGGAAACUCUGGUGGAGGCUCGCAGCGGUUCUGACGUGCAAAUCGAUCGUCAAAUAUGGGCAUAGGGGCGAAAG
Molecule: ribosomal RNA, 836 nt
Filed under: Lecanographa uniseptata
Lineage: Eukaryota; Fungi; Ascomycota; Arthoniomycetes; Arthoniales; Lecanographaceae
Description: LSU rRNA
Rfam family: Eukaryotic large subunit ribosomal RNA
Source: RNAcentral